RNAcentral lists this unclassified non-coding RNA (2672 nucleotides) under Hermetia illucens (black soldier fly). RNAcentral describes it as "synapse-associated protein of 47 kDa, transcript variant X1". Lineage: Eukaryota; Metazoa; Arthropoda; Insecta; Diptera; Stratiomyidae. The record is from RNAcentral.
UAUUUACUGCGAAAUCAAUAUAAGCUUGAACAAUUACCAUUUAAAAUUUCUCUGCAAUUAGUUUUCAAUAUAGUACAAUUGUCUUCACAUUGCAUUAUCGCGCAUUGUUUACAGUACGCAUGUGUGAAGUGCAGGCGCAUUAGAGUUUUGACAACUUUCGAAGUGAUUUUUCUUAUUGGAUUGCUACUCGAUAGCUUGAAAGGAUUCUCGCUACGUACUCGAGUUCAAAAAAGGACGUGGCUCCCAAGGAAGCUAGUCGUCGUCGAGCUGGCGUCGAAUAAAUUCAAUUCAAAUUCAAUACUCAAUUCUUCUGUUCCUUUGUGCACAUUUGAAAUUGUAGAGAAAAAGAAAAGAACUGCCUGAGAUACUUGUGCUUUGUGAUUUGACGUGAUUUUUUCGUUUCCAUCUCACAGUGAAGGUGAACAUCUGAAAUUUAUGGAAAAUCGGUGCCACUGAGUGACUUCGAGGAGAAGUGGGUUGUUCACGUUACGUUAGGUAAUAGCUGGCCGAAUUGCAGGACGAUAGACGGCUGAAAUCGCGUUGGCAGAAUUCAUAUCAUUGACAAGAUUUCAAGGAUCCGCACGGAAGAGGAUUCUCGUUGUUCACGCGUGAAAGUGUCCGUGACGCUUGAGUUGCUACCUCCUAGAUAGUGUGACAAAAAGGUUUUCCAUACAUAAUGUUUUCAGGACUUACAAAUCAGAUGUCCUCUUGGAUGGGGCGGCAGCCUCAAGACGAAGAGGUCCCCCCUCCGGAGAACACAAAUCAAUCAUCCGCCGUAGCUCCUGCCGAAGCGGAACCACAGCCAGCACAGUAUACUGAGCAGCCUGUUGCCGAAGGGCUUGAGGACGGCGACAAGAAACAGAGUCCAACGAAAGCUGGCGGGAUGUUCUCAAAUGUAAAGUCUCAAAUGACAGGAUGGUUAGGAAAUGCUUCGAUACCAUCAAUGCCAUCUAUGCCGGCGAUGCCAUCAAUGCCAGCUAUGCCGUCAAUUCCAUCGAUUCCAGGAUUGCGAAGAGGUGGCGCUGAAGGUGGUGAGGCAGGUGCUGAUGGGUCAGUAUUGGGUGAACAAACACAAGGUGGUAUUGGUGGAGGUGUUGAAGAUGUAUCAGGCGUUGGUGGUGGUGAUGAUGAAGACAAAUCGAGGUACAUUAGUGCUACGGAAGGAGCUGACUCACGUCCGAUAUCAGGUGGAGGAACCCCAACUGAAGAUCAAGCUGGGCAAAUUGGGAAUGUAACCACAAAAGUCACUCAAGGUGCCAAAACAUUUGGAUCAUUCUUAUAUUCUGCUGUAAAUAAAGCUGGAGCUAAAAUAAAGGAAACUGUUAAGGAUAAUACUAUUCUCAGUGAAUUCAAUAAAGAGCAAGAUGCGUUCAUCAAAGGGCAAGCUAACAGAUCUGAUGCUGGUGUGGCACCUUGGAUUGGCCACAAUAACGAGGAGAAAGUCAAAGAAGAAAUUUUGGGAUUAUCACAGGAUCGUCGUAAUUUCGUGCGAGCACCUCCUGCCGGAGUUGAUUUCCAAUUCGACUAUGAUCAGUCAUAUCCAGUGGCGUUAGCUAUUAUGACAGAAGAUAAAGAACUUGAAAAGAUGCGUUUCGAGUUAGUUCCAAAAAUAAUAACUGAAGAGAAUUUCUGGAGAAAUUACUUUUAUCGUGUAUCUUUAAUCUGUCAAGCUGGUGAAUUAGGUACUUUAGGAGCGGAUGGUUCUAUAAUGGGCCAAGCAUCUAGUGAAGAAGUAAAAUCGUUAAAGUCCGAAACAAAUUCAAACGAAAGUCACAUUGAAUCGAAAGAAUUAGAUAAUUCGAAGGAUACUUCGGAAACGUCACAUCCCUCUGAAAAAAAUGACCAAAUAAAGAAAGCAGGAAGACACAAAUUGAGUGAAUCGGAAUUUGUUUCGGAUACUUUCCAAACUACAGAAACGGAUCUAGAAGAAGUAAAAGCAGGAAUGCGAAAACUUGGUAUCGACAGUUUGGCACAACAGGCUGCCGUCGAUAAUGCUUAAAAAGAAGUGUUUCAACACAUUCGAAAAAGCUAAACAUAACAUUUAAGUGAAACCAUAACGUCUCAGCAUUUUAAUAAACGAUAGCAACAUAUAAAACGGUGGAAAUAGACGAACAAUAUUGUCCAAAACUUCGAUGAAUAGAGAGAAAUGUAACCAAAAAAAAAAAACAAAAAUACAAAUAUCAACAAGUAGACAACAACAUUGAGAACACAUAUUUUAGCAAAAUUGUAUUGUCUGGAUAUUGAUUUAUUUACUUUUUUCUUAUAAAUAUAUAUUUUUUCCUUUCUUUUUCAAGUCUUAUUUUCCUUUAGAACAUUUUACUCUAUUCUUUUCUUCCCAGUAUCUUGAAACUCUUAAAAAUUAUCACAAUUAUAAAGUAGGAAUCAAGUAGUAUGUAGGACAGCAAAAUAUUUUGCUUUUGCUUUAAAAAAUAGUGCCAGUUUGCAUUUAUUGCCUAGAAUAUAUUGCAAAAAAAAAAGAAAAAAAAAACUAGAGAAAAAUGAACACGAAAAAAGAUAAAAUAAAUAAACGUUGUGAUGAUUGGAAAUGGAAAGUAACACUGAAAAUAAACAGCAAUAAAAAUUACUAUUACUACUAGCUUAAUGAUGUGCUGGUUGUUAGAUGCAUAAAAGUGUUAAAUUGAUCUUUAAUAUGAGUAAGAUGAUAAGUGUAA